ACGCUGGCGGCAGGCCUAACACAUGCAAGUCGAGCGGUAGAGAGAAGCUUGCUUCUCUUGAGAGCGGCGGACGGGUGAGUAAUGCCUAGGAAUCUGCCUGGUAGUGGGGGAUAACGUUCGGAAACGGACGCUAAUACCGCAUACGUCCUACGGGAGAAAGCAGGGGACCUUCGGGCCUUGCGCUAUCAGAUGAGCCUAGGUCGGAUUAGCUAGUUGGCGAGGUAAUGGCUCACCAAGGCGACGAUCCGUAACUGGUCUGAGAGGAUGAUCAGUCACACUGGAACUGAGACACGGUCCAGACUCCUACGGGAGGCAGCAGUGGGGAAUAUUGGACAAUGGGCGAAAGCCUGAUCCAGCCAUGCCGCGUGUGUGAAGAAGGUCUUCGGAUUGUAAAGCACUUUAAGUUGGGAGGAAGGGUUGUAGAUUAAUACUCUGCAAUUUUGACGUUACCGACAGAAUAAGCACCGGCUAACUCUGUGCCAGCAGCCGCGGUAAUACAGAGGGUGCAAGCGUUAAUCGGAAUUACUGGGCGUAAAGCGCGCGUAGGUGGUUUGUUAAGUUGGAUGUGAAAUCCCCGGGCUCAACCUGGGAACUGCAUUCAAAACUGACUGACUAGAGUAUGGUAGAGGGUGGUGGAAUUUCCUGUGUAGCGGUGAAAUGCGUAGAUAUAGGAAGGAACACCAGUGGCGAAGGCGACCACCUGGACUAAUACUGACACUGAGGUGCGAAAGCGUGGGAGCAAAC
Molecule: ribosomal RNA, 744 nt
Filed under: uncultured bacterium
Lineage: Bacteria
Description: bacterial SSU rRNA
Rfam family: Bacterial small subunit ribosomal RNA
Source: RNAcentral